UACGUAGGCAGCAAGCGUUGUUCGGAAUUACUGGGCGUAAAGAGUGUGUAGGCGGUGCUCUAAGUUCGGUGUGAAAUCUCCCGGCUUAACUGGGAGGGUGCGCCGGAAACUGGAGUGCUUGAGCGCGGGAGAGGAAAGCGGAAUUCCGGGUGUAGCGGUGGAAUGCGUAGAGAUCCGGAAGAACACCGGUGGCGAAGGCGGCCUGCUGGGCAGUGGCUGACGCUGAGGCGCGACAGCGUGGGGAGCAAACAGG
Molecule: ribosomal RNA, 253 nt
Filed under: uncultured bacterium
Lineage: Bacteria
Description: partial 16S ribosomal RNA
Rfam family: Bacterial small subunit ribosomal RNA
Source: RNAcentral